Molecule: long non-coding RNA, 482 nt
Filed under: Bos indicus x Bos taurus (hybrid cattle)
Lineage: Eukaryota; Metazoa; Chordata; Mammalia; Artiodactyla; Bovidae
Description: lncRNA (ENSBIXG00005013510.1)
Source: RNAcentral
AUGCUUUUCCAGUUUUUCAUAAAACAGGACUGGUUUUUUUUUUCCCCCAGUAUUUAUCUUCUCUUUAUUUCUAGAUGCCCAAAUGAGCAAAGAAAAUACUUACCACUGAGGAAUGUGUGUUACUUGACUGGGCAGAGUCUACCCACAGUAGCCAACUGUUUUCUUGAAAUUCGUGAACACUUUUUCCAAGGAAAUUCCAGUGGACCCUCCCUAAGUUACCAAGAGCUCUUCCUCUUCCAGAGAGGUCUCAUCUCCCAGCUGCUUCAAAGACGCCUACAGUCCUGGAGGGAUUUUGUGUUAAAUGUCAUCCACUUGUCACAGGCUAUCUUUUCCUCUACAAAAGUCUGAAGCCCCCUGAACUGGAAGAAUGGAUAAAAGCAUUUUAAAGAAAGGGGCACUGAUUUAAUAAUGCUUUUGGCAGAAGAAGUUAAGUGUUAGUUUGAAGUGAAAAAUAAAGCAACCUGUGACGGAGCCUGGAAUCA